Molecule: long non-coding RNA, 1374 nt
Organism: Astatotilapia calliptera (eastern happy)
Lineage: Eukaryota; Metazoa; Chordata; Actinopteri; Cichliformes; Cichlidae
Source: Ensembl
UGAUUGAAGUAGCAGCCGGAGAGCGAGAGGCAGUCGCUUGUUAAGCUUAACGCAGGAAUGCUUUACAAACAUUCAGAGAUGGACUUACACACUUGCUUUACUUCUCUCGGGGAUAACUUUGUCGGAGAUGAAACGCCAGGUUGCUAGCGAAGCUCCACAUGCUAUCCAGACCACCACAGGUCCCGCAUGCCACAGCCGCUCUAUCACGUGAUGCAUACUGCUCCGACGUGCUAACGUUCUGAGGUGAGUUACAGCGUGUUGCAAGUUUUGUGAGGUGCUUUCGUGAUAUUUAAUGGAUCGGAUUACAUUUUUUAUUUUUCUCCGAUAUCCGAUCCAGUAAUUUAGGUCAGUAUCGGACCGAUACAUAAUAUCGGAUCAGUCCAUCUCUAGUUAAGAUUAUAUAAUAUGAGAGUGUAUUUAGAACUCAGAUACAUCUGGAAGAAUCAGCUGCAUCAGUCAGACAGUUGCAGAAUAUGAUCAAUUGGAACUGAAAACAUUUAACUAUAUGGAUCACAAUACACAUGACUUGGAAUAUGAAAUAGAUCCAGACAACUUUUUCUCAUCUAACAAUAACAAUUGCUGCUACUAUACAAAUAAAGACUACAAUCAGAGGAUUAAAACUGAGAAUAAAUUAUCAAUUAUCCACUUUAACUGUAGAAGUCUCUAUGCUAAUUUUAGUCAUAUCAAAGAAUAUCUUAACCAGUUUUCACAUCCAUUUAGUGUCAUUGCCUUAUCAGAAACUUGGAUCAAUAUGGAAAAAGGAACAGACUUUGAACUGGAGGGUUAUGAAUUCACAUUUAUAACUAGGCGAAACAAAGGAGGAGGAGGAGUGGCCUUGUAUGUGGACAAAUCCUUGAAAUUUAAUGUGGUGGAAAAGAUGACGAUGGUGAUUGAUAAUGUACUAGAAAGCUCUUACUGGAACAGUGGCGCGGCUGCCCCUCUGUUGGUCUUCCAUGGUUUCUUGUGUUCUGGGGGCCUCUGGAUGUCUGGAGUUUUGAUCUCCUCCAUACCUGCCUCACACCCUGGAGGACGGGGCUGUGGCCCCCCCACACUCCCUAGCAGAUCAUUACAUGGAGAAACCUUUGGAAUACAAGCGCGCUGAUCCACACAGGUGAUCCAGGAGAUUUUUUUCUCCCCCCCUUUCUCACUGUCCCUCUCCCCUUCUGUUUUUCCUUUCCUUCCUCUUUCUUUCUCCCUUUCCUAUCUCUCACUCAUGUCUGUCCCAUCUGUAACAUCUGAAAAUAAAAUAUAAUAAAUAAUAAAAACAAAGAUCGACCAAAUGGACCAAUACGGCAAUGCCACGAUGAUCCAUUUGGCAAAGUAAAUCCAUUGGGUAUCCUUGUUGGUCUUCAGACAACAAUUCUGAUGGCUAAA